This 3596-nucleotide small RNA is filed under the name Pan troglodytes (chimpanzee). RNAcentral describes it as "retained intron". The record is from RNAcentral. Lineage: Eukaryota; Metazoa; Chordata; Mammalia; Primates; Hominidae.
GCGGCCCCGAGCCCGCGGGGCUGUGCGGAUGGUAGGGAUGCCGACCCUACUGAGAAGCAGAUGGCAGAAACAGAGAGAAACGACGAGGAGCAGUUCGAAUGCCAGGAACUGCUCGAGUGCCAGGUGCAGGUGGGGGCCCCCGAUGAGGAGGAGGAGGAGGAGGAGGACGCGGGCCUGGUGGCCGAGGCCGAGGCCGUGGCUGCCGGCUGGAUGCUCGAUUUCCUCUGCCUCUCUCUUUGCCGAGCUUUCCGCGACGGCCGCUCCGAGGACUUCCGCAGGACCCGCAACAGCGCAGAGGGUGAGGGCAGACCACGUCCGGGCCGGGACUACGCGGGGGGCGGAUGCGGGCUCCGUGGUGCGCGGCAGAGGGCUGGUUUCCUAGGUCGCCGAGGGAGGUCGGGAGAGAGGGGCUGCUGCGGCCGAUUAGCUGGGAGUCCGAGGCUCCGGGCUGAACUUUGUUCGAAUCCCAGUUCGCCCGUUGUCAGCACCUGAGUUUUUCUCAGAUUGAUUUCCUCUUCGAUAAAAUGAAAAUAAGACCCUGUUUAGGUUUGAUGCAAGCAUUACAUGAUUUAAAAUGUAUACAGUUCCACUCAACCCAGGACCUUUGUCUCUUUUGGCGCUUUCUACUCAGGUAUUCCUGUAGUAAUAUUCAGCAGUCCCUGUGGCCUCCAGUGACCCCCCAGGCAUCAGUGUUUUAUGUUAAUUUGUGAGCUAUUAAACCUUAUUUGGCCUGCUGGCUCUACAGCAGUUACUUUUAUUCUGUAUAGUCUCAGAAUAAAAGUAAAUGUUGGCCACAUGCCUGCAAGUCCCAGCUACUUGGGAGCCUGAGGUGGGAGGAUUGCUUGAACCCAAGAGGCAGAGGCUGCAGUGAGUUGAGGUCGUGCCACUACAGUCCUGCCUGGGUAGCAGAGUGAUACCCUGUAUGAAUAAAUGAAUGAAUGAAACUGUUCAUGAAAUCUGCUGCACCCCGCCCCCGUCCCAAGAUGGGGUCUCACUGUCACCCAGGCUGGAGAGUGUAGUGGCGCCAUCACAGCUCACUGCAGGCUCGACCUCAGGCUCAGGUAUCCUCCCGCUUCAGCUUCUGGAGUAGCUGGGUCUGCAGGCGUGCACCACCACCCGCAGCUGUAAGAUUACAGGUGUGAGCCACCGCGCCUGGCCUAGUGUAGCUUUUUGAAAAACAACAGAAAGAUGUUCUGGUACUUCAUUCAUAGUUGGCGCUAAAAUUACUGUGCAAGUAUAUAUUUAUAAUACUAUAAUUAUGCUAUUUAAUAGAAUUCUUAGAAAGACAUUUUGACACAUUUCAUCUUCACCAUAAUCCUGUGAGUUAGGCAAAUAAUCUUAGUUUUAAGGUACUGAUAGGUUAAAAGGGAGUGUUUCAGCCCCAUGCUUUAUCUUCCAGUUCAAGGAUCUUUCCUCUGUAUUGCGGUUAACACUGGAGCCAGGGAUAAUUAAUAUUAAGUAGAAAAUUAAAUCCUGGAAUGAAGCUAGUUCCUUAGAAUUCUCUUAGAGUUCUCUUAGAGUUGGAGACAUCAGUAUGAACUGUUUAGCUCAUGUAGGUAUAGAUGACUUAGAAAUAUUUGCAUAUGCAUGUGUAGACAUAGGUUACUAUACAAAUAUGUAUUUCCUUACUCUGUCAGAUAAAAGGGCACAGAAGCAACCUAACUCUAGUAACAAUGAGUACACCUAGCACCCCGAUCUUGUUUACAACUAAGUUUAGUUUAAAGACCUCACUUGGCUUUAUUGUGAUUCUGGAUUCAGGUAAUACUUUAUUCCAUAAAAUAAGUGCUCAAUGAAUUGAGCAGUUGGGGGUUGGCUUUAUAGACAGUAAGGACUUAAGGAAGCUGAAACAGAACAAAAAGAAGAUUGGUUAUUUCACAGUUACUUGUAAGGCUGGGACAGGGAGACAGAACAAUAGAUACAUGGGAUGCAGAAUGGAUGUUGUGUUAUCAGGCAUGAAAGCAACAGUAAUUUCCUUGUAUGUACGUCUCCCUCAGAGCUCUUGAGUGGUUAGGCGCAUUAUCAAUGAGCAAUGGUAUUUUGAAAGGAAUCUUUUUUCCAAGCAGUAAAUCUCAAUAAUGGGCUUAAAAUAUUCAGUAAACCAUGGUGUAAACAGAGGCACUGUCAUCUUGUUCCAUUUCUAGAGCACAGGCAAAGUUGAUAUAUCAUUUUAAGGGCCUUAAGAUUUUCAGAAUGAGAAAUGGGCAAUGGGUUUAACUAAAAGUCACCAGCAGCAUUAGUCCCUAACAAGAGAGUCAGCCUGUCCUUUGAAAUAUUGAAGUUAGGCAUUGACUUCUCUCUGGCUAUGAAAGUUCUCUAUGACAUCUUCUUCUAAUAUGAGGCUGUUUCAUCUACAAUGAAAAUCUGUUGUUGGCUGGAUACAGUGGCUCACACCUGUAAUCCCAGCCCUUUGGAAGGCCAAGGCAGUUGGAUCACUUGCGGUCAGGAGCUUGAGACACCAGCCUGGCCAACAUGGCAAAACUCCAUCUCUACUAAAAAUACAAAAAUUAGCUGGGCAUUGUGGCACACAUCUGUAAUCCCAGCUACUCAGGAGGCUGAGGCACGAGAAUCAAUCACUUGAACCUGGGAGGUGGAGGCUGCAGUGAGCCAAGGUCACGCCACUGCACUCCAACCUGGGUGACACGGCGAGAAAAAAACAAAAUCAGUUGUUUAGUGUAACCACCUUCAUUUGUGAUUGUAGCUAGAUCUUCUCAAUAACUUGUAGCUUUUACUUCAGCACUUGCUGCUUCACCUUGCACUUCUAUGUCACAGAGAUGGCUUCUUUUCUUAAACCUCAUGAACCAACAACCUCUGCUAGCUUCCAACUUUUCUUUUGCAAUUUUCUUACCUCUUUCAGCCUUCUUAGACUUGCUCUGGAUUAGGCUGUGGCUUAAAGGAAUGUUGUGGCUGGUUUGAUUUUUUUUCUAUCCAAGUCAAACUUUCUCCAUAUAAGCAAUAGGCUCUUUUACUUUCUUAUCAUUUAUGUGUUCAGUGGAUUAGAACUUUUAAUUUCCUUUGAGAACUUUUCCUUUGUAUUAACAACUUGGCUGUUAGACACAAGAGGCCUAUGUUUCAGCCUAUCAUGGCAUUUGACAUCCUUUCCUCACUAAGCUUAAUCAUUUCCAGCUUUUGAUUUAAAGUGAAUGACUUGCAACUCUUCCUUUCACUGAAACACUUGGAGGGCAUGUAGAGUUACUCAUUGGCCUAAUUUCAAUAUUGUUGUGUUUCAGGAAAUAAGGAGGCCUGAAGAGAGGGAGUAAGGGGAAGGGCGGGUCAGUGGAGCAGUUAGAACACACACAAUAUUUAUGGAAUAAGUUUGUGUCUUAUAUGGGCAUGAUUUGUGGUACUCCAGAACCUUUACAAUAGUAACAUCAGAGAUUAUUGAUCACAGACCACCAUACAGAUACAAUAAUAAUGAAAAAGUUUGAAAUAUUGCAAGAAUUAUCAAAAUGUGACAGGUACAGGUACUGUUAGAAAAAUGAGCCGGACGUGGUGGCUCAUGCCUGUAAUCCCAGCACUUUGGGAGGCUGAGGCGGGCGGAUCACGAGGUCAGGAGAUCGAGACCAUCCUGGCUAACAUGGUGAAACCCCGUCUCUACU